CAGCCGCCGCGGUAAGACGUAGGUGGCAAGCGUUGUCCGGAAUUAUUGGGCGUAAAGGGCUCGCAGGCGGUUUCUUAAGUCUGAUGUGAAAGCCCCCGGCUCAACCGGGGAGGGUCAUUGGAAACUGGGAAACUUGAGUGCAGAAGAGGAGAGUGGAAUUCCACGUGUAGCGGUGAAAUGCGUAGAGAUGUGGAGGAACACCAGUGGCGAAGGCGACUCUCUGGUCUGUAACUGACGCUGAGGAGCGAAAGCGUGGGGAGCGAACAGGAUUAGAUACCCCUGUAGUCCCUGUCUCUUAUAC
RNAcentral lists this ribosomal RNA (301 nucleotides) under uncultured bacterium. Its description in RNAcentral is "partial 16S ribosomal RNA". It matches the Rfam family "Bacterial small subunit ribosomal RNA", at positions 509 to 807 of the family's 1533-position model. The record is from RNAcentral.